This 484-nucleotide long non-coding RNA is filed under the name Elaeis guineensis (African oil palm). Its description in RNAcentral is "long non-coding RNA (EGUI_LNC023359)". Lineage: Eukaryota; Viridiplantae; Streptophyta; Magnoliopsida; Arecales; Arecaceae. The record is from RNAcentral.
AGGAUCUGGACUUAGAUGUGGUUAAAUUAACUUAAAGUAGCCUAUGAUGCGCAUCUGGGGACUUAAUUUCUUGUUCAGAUGAUUUGGAAGGCAAGAUGGACUAGAAGUGCGGUGGAAUUUCUUGACUUCAUUGGGUAAAAUUUAUUUCAUUGUUCUGUCCAUUACCAAAAUACAUGUUGUAUUGCUUUAAGACCACGUCCCCAUGGUGAAGAAUGUGACGUUCUUUUUGCAGCUUAAGUAUGAUGCUCACUUACCUAGUCCUAUCAGCAAGAAUUUCAUUACGUUCAUCUUUGGAUGUGGCGGGACAGAGUUGACCCAAAACAUUUUGGUUUGCACCAUGUGGUAUGAGCAGCCUGAUCUGCAAGCAGGACCAGGGAAUACUGGAAACAUAACCUUUUGUGUGGGAUUUUGUGAUAACUAUAAUGAGAAAGACUAAAUUAUCUUGGAACAAUGAUAAUUUUUUGAAAAAAUAAGAUUUAGUGGG